This 481-nucleotide ribosomal RNA is filed under the name uncultured Clostridium sp. RNAcentral describes it as "bacterial SSU rRNA". It matches the Rfam family "Bacterial small subunit ribosomal RNA", at positions 907 to 1392 of the family's 1533-position model. The record is from RNAcentral. Lineage: Bacteria; Bacillati; Bacillota; Clostridia; Eubacteriales; Clostridiaceae.
GAAUUGACGGGGGCCCGCACAAGCAGUGGAGUAUGUGGUUUAAUUCGAAGCAACGCGAAGAACCUUACCAGAUCUUGACAUCCAACUAAUCCUCUAGAAAUAGAGGAGUGCCCUUCGGGGAAAGUUGAGACAGGUGGUGCAUGGUUGUCGUCAGCUCGUGUCGUGAGAUGUUGGGUUAAGUCCCGCAACGAGCGCAACCCUUGUGAUUAGUUGCUACGCAAGAGCACUCUAAUCAGACUGCCGUUGACAAAACGGAGGAAGGUGGGGACGACGUCAAAUCAUCAUACCCCUUAUGAUCUGGGCUACACACGUACUACAAUGGCCAUUAACAAAGGGAAGCAAAGCCGCGAGGCGGAGCAAAUCCCCAAAAAUGGUCUCAGUUCGGAUCGCAGGCUGCAACCCGCCUGCGUGAAGCUGGAAUUGCUAGUAAUCGCGGAUCAUCAUGCCGCGGUGAAUACGUUCCCGGGCCUUGUACACACCG